UGGCGGCAAGCUAACACAUGCAAGUCGAGCGGUAGAGAGAAGCUUGCUUCUCUUGAGAGCGGCGGACGGGUGAGUAAUGCCUAGGAAUCUGCCUGGUAGUGGGGGAUAACGUUCGGAAACGGACGCUAAUACCGCAUACGUCCUACGGGAGAAAGCAGGGGACCUUCGGGCCUUGCGCUAUCAGAUGAGCCUAGGUCGGAUUAGCUAGUUGGUGGGGUAAUGGCUCACCAAGGCGACGAUCCGUAACUGGUCUGAGAGGAUGAUCAGUCACACUGGAACUGAGACACGGUCCAGACUCCUACGGGAGGCAGCAGUGGGGAAUAUUGGACAAUGGGCGAAAGCCUGAUCCAGCCAUGCCGCGUGUGUGAAGAAGGUCUUCGGAUUGUAAAGCACUUUAAGUUGGGAGGAAGGGCCAUUACCUAAUACGUGAUGGUUUUGACGUUACCGACAGAAUAAGCACCGGCUAACUCUGUGCCAGCAGCCGCGGUAAUACAGAGGGUGCAAGCGUUAAUCGGAAUUACUGGGCGUAAAGCGCGCGUAGGUGGUUUGAUAAGUUGGAUGUGAAAUCCCCGGGCUCAACCUGGGAACUGCAUUCAAAACUGACUGACUAGAGUAUGGUAGAGGGUGGUGGAAUUUCCUGUGUAGCGGUGAAAUGCGUAGAUAUAGGAAGGAACACCAGUGGCGAAGGCGACCACCUGGACUGAUACUGACACUGAGGUGCGAAAAGCGUGGGGAGCAAAACAGGAUUAGAAGGUGGGGAUGACGUCAAGUCAUCAUGGCCCUUACGGCCUGGGCUACACACGUGCUACAAUGGUCGGUACAGAGGGUUGCCAAG
RNAcentral lists this ribosomal RNA (835 nucleotides) under Pseudomonas marginalis. RNAcentral's name for it is "bacterial SSU rRNA". It matches the Rfam family "Bacterial small subunit ribosomal RNA", at positions 37 to 833 of the family's 1533-position model. The record is from RNAcentral. Lineage: Bacteria; Pseudomonadati; Pseudomonadota; Gammaproteobacteria; Pseudomonadales; Pseudomonadaceae.